RNAcentral lists this ribosomal RNA (424 nucleotides) under bacterium OM7. RNAcentral's name for it is "bacterial SSU rRNA". It matches the Rfam family "Bacterial small subunit ribosomal RNA", at positions 975 to 1396 of the family's 1533-position model. The record is from RNAcentral.
CAGAGGUCUUGACAUCCUUUGAAAACUCUAGAGAUAGAGCCUUCCCCUUCGGGGGACAAAGUGACAGGUGGUGCAUGGUUGUCGUCAGCUCGUGUCGUGAGAUGUUGGGUUAAGUCCCGCAACGAGCGCAACCCUUAAGCUUAGUUGCCAUCAUUAAGUUGGGCACUCUAGGUUGACUGCCGGUGACAAACCGGAGGAAGGUGGGGAUGACGUCAAAUCAUCAUGCCCCUUAUGAUUUGGGCUACACACGUGCUACAAUGGACAAUACAAAGGGCAGCUAAACCGCGAGGUCAUGCAAAUCCCAUAAAGUUGUUCUCAGUUCGGAUUGUAGUCUGCAACUCGACUACAUGAAGCUGGAAUCGCUAGUAAUCGUAGAUCAGCAUGCUACGGUGAAUACGUUCCCGGGUCUUGUACACACCGAGGG